MicroRNA precursor from Oryza sativa Japonica Group (Japanese rice), 208 nucleotides. It matches the Rfam family "MIR812 microRNA precursor family". Lineage: Eukaryota; Viridiplantae; Streptophyta; Magnoliopsida; Poales; Poaceae. The record is from Rfam.
UGCUACUCCCUCCACCUAUUUUCCGUACCUAAUUUUAAUUGUCCGUCUUAUUUAAAUUUUUUUUAAAAAAAAAUUAAAAACAUAAGUCACGCAUAAAGUACUAUUUAUAUUUUAUUAUCUCAUAACAAUAAAAAUACUACUAAUUAUUAAAAAAAUUUAAAUAAGAUGAAUGAUCAAAGUUGAGCACGGAAACUUAUAUACACUUAAA